AGCCUGAACGCUGGCGGCGUGGCUAAGACAUGCAAGUCGUACGGGUGUAGCAAUACACCAGUGGCGGACGGGUGAGUAAUGUAUCGCUAACGUACCCCGAAAUCUGGGAUAGCCAUCCGAAAGGAUGGGUAAUACCAGGUAACAUCACCGGAUGGCAUCAUCUGGUGCUCAUAGGGUCACCGUUUCGGGAGCGGGCGAUAUCGUAUCAGCUAGUUGGCGGGGUAACGGCCCACCAAGGCGACGACGCGUAGCCGGACUGAGAGGUUGGCCGGCCACAUUGGGACUGAGACACUGCCCAGACUCCUACGGGGGCUGCAGUAACGAAUCUUCCGCAAUGCACGCAAGUGUGACGGAGCGACGCCGCGUGUGGGACGAAGCCCUUCGGGGUGUAAACCACUGUCAGGGGUUAGAAAGUUCUGAUCGACCCCAGAGGAAGGCACGGCUAACUCUGCGCCAGCAGCCGC
RNAcentral lists this ribosomal RNA (464 nucleotides) under uncultured bacterium. RNAcentral's name for it is "SSU rRNA". It matches the Rfam family "Bacterial small subunit ribosomal RNA", at positions 26 to 518 of the family's 1533-position model. The record is from RNAcentral.